This 1049-nucleotide long non-coding RNA is filed under the name Equus caballus (horse). Its description in RNAcentral is "lncRNA (ENSECAG00000053273.1)". Lineage: Eukaryota; Metazoa; Chordata; Mammalia; Perissodactyla; Equidae. The record is from RNAcentral.
AAAGGGCAGCUCAGAGGCUACUCACUCAGAUGCAGCCACAGAGAGGAGGGGAGAGUUGCUCCAGAGAAAAGGGCAGCCCCAGAUGCUUGUUUGGAGAGAAAGGACCACUGAAAGGUUCUACUUACGGAGGAGUACUUUACAUUCAUCUCAGAUGACUGGAGCACAUAUCAGGAAGACCCAGGAAAGUGCUGACCUUCCCGUUCUUGUGGCUCUUAUCAGACUAGAUGCUCACCCUCUCCGCACACAGGACCAUCUUGAGGGGGGCAUCCCAUGUAAGCAAAAUGUGGAAAAGCCAGUGACCAUCAACAAAACAAAACAUCAAAGCCAACUAAUAAAGGGAGAAAGACAAUAUUUGGGAGAACGAGGAGCACAAUGGAUGUUUGGGGAUGUGAAGAGAGAAGAAAUGGAGAAGGAAGCCUACCUCUCUCCCUUUCUGGGGCAUCAGUGUCUUCUCUGGUCUUUUAAGCAAGUGAAAGGAUGUUGUCCAACCAAAGUACCAUUUACAAAUACAAUAUUCUCUUUAUGGCAACGCUCUAAAUGCCGGCCCCAGUGUUUUGAUCCUCAAAUGGAAGUGUGACCGUUGUGCGAGAGGAACUCUUACAGGAGUAACUACAGUGGACGGCUUUACAUUGGGGAUGAUGGGAUUCCUGCACCUGAACCUCGCAUCCCCUGAUACAACAGGCACUCGCUGGGUGCUGAAUUAUGGCCGUGCCACCUGUGAAGCGGGGACUUGGUGAGCGAGAGCCCGAGGGUGUAUGUAUUUCACUUACUCGGAGCUGUCAGGUCUUAUCAACCUUUCGUUAGAAAUAUUUUUUUCUCCCUGAAAACUCAUAAAAAUUCAUGUUGUAAUAUCAAUGCCUGCAGGAUCCUGUAGAAUUUUGUUGAGCUGCUCAUCCCCUUUUCUCCUAAUAGAUAUAUCAUCCCCUUCACAUACAGGGAUACAGAUGUGUGCUUGCGAAUCUGUAUUGGAGGCUUGUGGAUAUGCCAAAGUAGGUUUGCCAAGGGAAAGGAAAUAAACUAAUUUUUCCCCCCACUGGUUUAAUGUGGCU